GGUUUACAAAACUUGUAUAAAUAAUCUCAAAGAUGAAUGGCCUUUCAUUUCUCAUCAUCUAGCAAAGGAUUAAUGGCUUCCUCUACUUCCGUAAAUAUUACCAGAGUUGCUACUGAUUCAAGAAUGAAAACCUUUGGGUCGUGUGAAGCAAUCGUGCACAGAAAGCGUUCAUUUUGUGACGCUUGACAGAGACAAAUAUCUCCUGGAAGGCUCAAGUUUCUGUCGCUCUUCGGGAGAAUGAUCUAUAGGGCUAUGUAAAAAGAAGAGGAUGUGCUUAUUGCGAUUACUUAAUUCCCAAAAUGAUUGGGGAGAAUGAGAAAUGAUUGUUGUAAUCGUUGUGUUUACAUUUAUCUAUUUGCUAUGUAUUUAUACUAAGUAUACAACUUAAUUUGUUAC
This 396-nucleotide long non-coding RNA is filed under the name Zostera marina. Its description in RNAcentral is "long non-coding RNA (ZMAR_LNC004713)". Lineage: Eukaryota; Viridiplantae; Streptophyta; Magnoliopsida; Alismatales; Zosteraceae. The record is from RNAcentral.